Molecule: long non-coding RNA, 2007 nt
Organism: Siniperca chuatsi (mandarin fish)
Lineage: Eukaryota; Metazoa; Chordata; Actinopteri; Centrarchiformes; Sinipercidae
Exons: 3
Source: RefSeq, a predicted model, not a curated record
CUCAAUGUUUCUCUUUUUUUUUUGACUCUCCCACUAGGUGACAGUAUUUUGUGAAUCCUAAUAUAUCUGAUGGGUAUGAGAUACGCUGCAUUUAAAAAGUUCUGAGGGGGCUGGGUUUUUUUUUUUUUUUUUGUCUUUCCAAAACCAAAAACACAACAAAAAAAGUGAAAUGUGGAUUAAACAGUGUAUUUACAGUUUAUUUACUCUAAAGUUAGGAGCAAUUGUUAGCAUGUCCGACUAAAUAGCUUACUACCUACGUAACCAAAUUUCCAAGGAGCACAUCGUUAACUAACUACAUUAGUUUGUGGGUUACACGCUAAGUGAAAAAAAGUUCUCUUAAUAACCUCACAGUAGUAUUAGUAGUAUAGUAGCCGGUCCUGCAUGAUAUCAGAGUUUAAGCUAACGUUAGGUACUCUGUCCUGCUCUUGGAUUUGGGGAAGUUUACACUUCAGCAACCCUAGCCAAUGUAAGGCGAGUUAGCGGUAUGUUUGCCAAACACAUCAGUUAGACCUCAUCCUAAAAGUCUUGGCUCUUGUGACGUUAAAAGUGUGUUUGAAAAAACAAAAAAAGUAUGUAAGCUAAAACAGGGUUGUUAAUAAUAAGUCUGAUCUUACAUUUUUCCUUUUUAUACUUAGCCACACUGCAAUACAAAAACAAUGAUGUUUCUUUAUUUUGCGUUACAUGUCAUGGAUCAGCAACUAUUGAAGAUUUUGAUUUUUUGCCUGGGACAUGAAGCUUUAGCCUCAGUAACACGAUAUAGAGUGUAUUUUUAAGAACCCUUUUACAGGAUUCUUGUUUAAAAACAAGUAAGCUGAAAACAUUAAAAAAUCAUGACUUUCUCUCUCCACAAGCUACCCAGAGCCGCUGAAGCUACAAUGUUGUUGUUUCAUACAUAGAUUUAUAAAGUACCAGAUUUAGUCACACAAGCAAUGCUCGUUCUUUUGCUUCCAGGCUGAUAAAAGGACCAGGAGUCCCCGGAUAAAAAACAUCAGGAGCUGGGGAGGAAACGCAAGGCUGAUGAAAAAUAGUCUGUCAAUCUGUCUGCCCUGGGUAGAAUCUCAAACCCAGGAAUCUGACGUCUCUCUUUGUCUCUUUUUGUCUGUCUCUUUCUCUCAGUGCUGCAGGGAGUCAUUCAGCAUUAAAUUAGUCACAGUUUUCACAACAAAGACACGAAAAGAGUGGAGAGUAAGUAGAGGGUGAAAGGGCAUGACCCAUCUUUAUGUUUUUUAGGUUUCUGAUUUAUAUUCAAUUAAGAUUCUUGUAGAUAAAGAGCGAAGUAAAAUAACAAGUGACGUAAUUAAGAAAAGGGUAGUGAAAGUCACUACAACUCAACACACAGCACCCCUGGGAAAUACUGUAAAAAGUGAUGUGGAGCACAAGCCUAUAUAAAAAUCUUAAGAGCUCAUCAACUCAUGGGUGUGUUUAAAUAGAACAAGCUCAGCUCUCAUAAACAUUAAGAAGGCUGUGAAUAGGAGGGAACCAAAUUAAUUUGAUCUGACUUUAACUGAAAUGAAAGUAGAGACACUGAGUUUUAUUUCAUUUAAUUUGUGUGGCAGAGAGGGCGAUUGAUUCUUAGCACAAGCUAUGGAGUUAUCAGGGCUGAGGAUACAAAAGCUUACUCAAAUAAAAGUGGAUGGAAAGAACAGAUCAUAGCGCAUUUGGUCUGCUAGGAAUCGGGUGGAUUUGCACCACAUUUGAUUUGCUGUUUCCAACUAGCAAAAUUUGAUAACCAGGAAGUUAAUACGGUCAUUGUAAUCUUUAUACAUUGUAUGUGCAGGUCUUGAAUUGUCUUAAAAAGCAUUGAAUUCGGUUUCUUCAAUAAAAGGCCUUAGAAGGUAUUCAAAAAGUCGUUCAUAUUUCUCUUGCCAGCUGUAGGCAGUAAUGUAAGUUAUUGCACUUAAUAUGGGCUGUCGAGAGACAUUUUAUAUCUAUGAACUCAAAGAUAGUUGGAAAAGGAUUGUUGCAAUGUUGGAUUGUGCUGCAGGAGUCCUUUAUGGUUGAGCUUCA